Molecule: long non-coding RNA, 326 nt
Filed under: Helianthus annuus (common sunflower)
Lineage: Eukaryota; Viridiplantae; Streptophyta; Magnoliopsida; Asterales; Asteraceae
Description: hypothetical non coding rna
Source: RNAcentral
UCAAAGUCACCAUCGAAGCUUCAAAGAAAAGCAACUGAUUUCGGGUGUGUUCAUGCUUCAUCUCACGUCGUCAACUUCAUCUCGGGUGUGCUGAUGCUUGUUGAAAGCUGAUUUCUAGAGUGAGAAACAACAAUCUUCAUCAUAUUCAUCAAGAACACCAAGAACACAUAGAGAGAAGCAAGUUUGAAGAUCUUCAUCGUGUUCAUCACACGGUUUCUAGAUUCCGUGAAUGGAUGUUUAUGUUCAAGAUAAAGAUGGUUAUCAAGACGCAAAACGUAGCUAGAUUUUUUAUGAUUUUUAUGUGUGCAAUUACUAACAACCCAUGA